AUGAAGAUCAGGGAGUAUACCCCUUGCCCCCAGCUCACAGCGGGUUAUCUUCCCCCACCCACCCUAGGGCGGCACAUGGAGUUCAGGAAGCUCCGAGGAAUGGAGACCAGACCCCCAGCCAACACCGCUCGCCUACAGCCCCCCCGAGACCUCAGGAGCAGCAGCCCCAGGAAGCAACUGUCAGAGUCGUCUGACGAUGACUAUGACGACGUGGACAUCCCCACCCCUGCAGAGGACACACCUCCUCCACUUCCCCCCAAGCCCAAGUUCCCGUUCUCCAUCAGACAGACGGGUCCUGGCAGUAUGGGGGAUGAUGGGCAGCUGAGCCCGGGGUGCUGGUCCGGUGUGCCAGUGGGCCCCCCACCACACAGCCCCGUCCUGGGCCUCCCCCAUCCACCAGCAGCCCCCACCUCACCGCCCAUUCCAGAGUAAUGGACAGCUAGGAACCCUCACUCUGGAACCCACCCUCGCCGGGAGCUCGACGAAGCCCCCCACUUCUGCCCCCCCAGAAGGGAAAAGAUGAAAGAGAAAGGUGAGGGAUGCGCCCUUCUGGUAAAGUUAUUCAAUGGCUGCCCCCUCCGGAUCCACAGCACAGCCGCCUGGACACAUCCCUCCACCAAGGACCAGCACCUGCUCCUGGGGGCAGAGGAAGGCAUCUUCAUCCUGAACCGGAAUGACCAGGAGGCCACGCUGGAGAUGCUCUUUCCUAGCCGGACUACGUGGGUGUACUCCAUCAACAACGUUCUCAUGUCUCUCUCAGGAAAGACCCCCCACCUGUAUUCUCAUAGCAUCCUGGGCCUGCUGGAACGGAAAGAGACCAGAGCAGGAAACCCCAUCGCUCACAUUAGCCCCCACCGCCUACUGGCAAGGAAGAACAUGGUUUCCACCAAGAUCCAGGACACCAAAGGCUGCCGGGCGUGCUGUGUGGCGGAGGGUGUGAGCUCUGGGGGCCCGUUCCUGUGCGGGGCAUUGGAGACGUCCGUUGUCCUGCUUCAGUGGUACCAGCCCAUGAACAAAUUCCUGCUCGUCCGGGUGCUGUUCCCACUGCCGACGCCUCUGUCCGUGUUCGCGCUGCUGACCGGGCCAGGCUCUGAGCUGCCCGCUGUGUGCAUCGGCGUGAGCCCCGGGCGACCUGGGAAGUCGGUGCUCUUCCACACGGUGCGCUUUGGCGCGCGCUCUUGCUGGCUGGGCGAGAUGAGCACCGAGCACAAGGGACCAGUGCAGGUGACCCAGGUAGAGGAGGAUAUGGUGAUGGUGUUGAUGGACGGCUCUGUGAAGCUGGUGACCCCGGAGGGGUCCCCAGUCCGGGGACUUCGCACGCCUGAGAUCCCCAUGACCGAAGCGGUGGAGGCCGUGGCUAUGGUUGGAGGUCAGCUUCAGGCCUUCUGGAAGCAUGGAGUUCAGGUGUGGGCUCUAGGCUCAGAUCAGCUGCUACAGGAGCUGAGAGACCCUACCCUCACUUUCCGUCUGCUUGGCUCCCCCAGGCCCGUAGUGGUGGAGACACGCCCAGUGGAUGAUCCUACUGCUCCCAGCAACCUCUACAUCCAGGAAUGAGUCCCUAGGGGGGUGUCAGGAACUAAUCCUUGCAUCCCCUCCCCCACAGACACACUAGUGGUCAUGGCAUGUCCUCAUCUCCCAAUAAACGUGACUUUAGCCUCUGC
This is an RNA transcript of Nomascus leucogenys (northern white-cheeked gibbon), 1661 nucleotides long. It is a transcript of the gene named mitogen-activated protein kinase kinase kinase kinase 1-like, with no coding region annotated. NCBI's taxonomy places the organism in Eukaryota, Metazoa, Chordata, Mammalia, Primates, Hylobatidae. The record is from RefSeq and is a predicted model, not a curated record. The transcript has 19 exons.